UACGUAGGGUGCGAGCGUUAAUCGGAAUUACUGGGCGUAAAGCGUGCGCAGGCGGUUUUGUAAGCCAGAUGUGAAAUCCCCGGGCUCAACCUGGGAAUGGCAUUUGGGACUGCAAGGCUUGAGUUUGGCAGAGGAGACUGGAAUUCCUGGUGUAGCAGCGAAAUGCGUAGAUAUCAGGAGGAAUACCGAUGGCGAAGGCAGGUCUCUGGGCUAUAACUGACGCUCAUGCACGAAAGCGUGGGGAGCAAACAGG
RNAcentral lists this ribosomal RNA (253 nucleotides) under uncultured bacterium. RNAcentral's name for it is "partial 16S ribosomal RNA". It matches the Rfam family "Bacterial small subunit ribosomal RNA", at positions 524 to 776 of the family's 1533-position model. The record is from RNAcentral.